AACGAACGCUGGCGGCAUGCCUAACACAUGCAAGUCGAACGAGACCUUCGGGUCUAGUGGCGCACGGGUGCGUAACGCGUGGGAACCUGCCUUUAGGUUCGGAAUAACUCAGAGAAAUUUGAGCUAAUACCGGAUGAUGUCUUCGGACCAAAGAUUUAUCGCCUUUAGAUGGGCCCGCGUUGGAUUAGCUAGUUGGUGGGGUAAAGGCCUACCAAGGCGACGAUCCAUAGCUGGUCUGAGAGGAUGAUCAGCCACACUGGGACUGAGACACGGCCCAGACUCCUACGGGAGGCAGCAGUGGGGAAUAUUGGACAAUGGGCGAAGGCCUGAUCCAGCAAUGCCGCGUGAGUGAUGAAGGCCUUAGGGUUGUAAAGCUCUUUUACCCGAGAUGAUAAUGACAGUAUCGGGAGAAUAAGCUCCGGCUAACUCCGUG
RNAcentral lists this ribosomal RNA (433 nucleotides) under uncultured bacterium. RNAcentral's name for it is "partial 16S ribosomal RNA". It matches the Rfam family "Bacterial small subunit ribosomal RNA", at positions 29 to 507 of the family's 1533-position model. The record is from RNAcentral.